AAAUGGACUCUCAGCAACGGAUAUCYUUGGCUCUUGCAACGA
This 42-nucleotide ribosomal RNA is filed under the name Frullania chevalieri. RNAcentral describes it as "partial 5.8S ribosomal RNA". Lineage: Eukaryota; Viridiplantae; Streptophyta; Jungermanniopsida; Porellales; Frullaniaceae. The record is from RNAcentral.